This 81-nucleotide unclassified non-coding RNA is filed under the name Mus musculus (house mouse). RNAcentral describes it as "partial derived from hnRNA or mRNA fragment, or novel small non-messenger RNA without known sequence-or structural motifs". Lineage: Eukaryota; Metazoa; Chordata; Mammalia; Rodentia; Muridae. The record is from RNAcentral.
GUUAAGGCAGAAUGCCUUUGAAGAGUUAGAAGAAUAUUAAAAGCCUUAACUUGUAGCUUAAUUUUGCUUGAUGACAAAAGG